This 71-nucleotide transfer RNA is filed under the name Loxodonta africana (African savanna elephant). It matches the Rfam family "tRNA". From Rfam's summary of the family: Transfer RNA (tRNA) molecules are approximately 80 nucleotides in length. Their secondary structure includes four short double-helical elements and three loops (D, anti-codon, and T loops). The record is from Rfam by way of RNAcentral. Lineage: Eukaryota; Metazoa; Chordata; Mammalia; Proboscidea; Elephantidae.
ACAUUGGUGAUUCAGUGGUAGAAUUCUCACCUUCCGUGCAGGAGAUCGGGGUUUGAUUCCCGGCCACUGCA